GAUCCUGGCUCAGAAUCAACGCUGGCGGCGUGCUUAACMCAUGCAAGUCGAACGAGAAAAUCCGGUGUUGUAGCAAUACAAUACUGGGUGAGUACAGUGGCGACCGGGUGAGUAACACGUGGAUAACCUACCUUUGAGCGGGGAAUAACCCUGGGAAACCGGGGCUAAUACCGCAUGACACCUGGCGGCUGCGGCCGCUGGGUUGAAACCUGGUAACGGGGCUCGAAGAGGGGUCCGCGGCCGAUUAGCUAGUUGGUGAGGUAACGGCCCACCAAGGCGAUGAUCGGUAGCCGGCCUGAGAGGGCGGUCGGCCACACUGGAACUGAAACACGGUCCAGACUCCUACGGGAGGCAGCAGUGGGGAAUUUUGCGCAAUGGGGGAAACCCUGACGCAGCAACGCCGCGUGGAUGAUGAAGCCCCUUGGGGUGUAAAAUCCUUUCGGCAGGGACGAAGCCCGGGCAACCGGGCGGACGGUACCUGAAGAAGAAGCCCCGGCUAACUCCGUGCCAGCAGCCGCGGUAAUACGGGGGGGGCAAGCGUUGUUCGGAAUUAUUGGGCGUAAAGGGAGCGUAGGCGGUGUGGCAAGUCUGGUGUGAAAUCUCCGAGCUUAACUCGGAGCGGUCAUCAGAAACUGCCAUGCUCGAGUGUGGGAGAGGAGAGUGGAAUUCCCGGUGUAGCGGUGAAAUGCGUAGAUAUCGGGGGGAACACCAGUGGCGAAGGCGGCUCUCUGGACCACAACUGACGCUGAGCUCGAAAGCUAGGGGAGCAAACAG
This 774-nucleotide ribosomal RNA is filed under the name uncultured Acidobacteriota bacterium. RNAcentral describes it as "bacterial SSU rRNA". It matches the Rfam family "Bacterial small subunit ribosomal RNA", at positions 15 to 775 of the family's 1533-position model. The record is from RNAcentral. Lineage: Bacteria; Pseudomonadati; Acidobacteriota.